AGUGAACGCUGGCGGUAGGCCUAACACAUGCAAGUCGAACGGCAGCACAGUAAGAGCUUGCUCUUACGGGUGGCGAGUGGAGGACGGGUGAGGAAUACAUCGGAAUCUACUUUUUCGUGGGGGAUAACGUAGGGAAACUUACGCUAAUACCGCAUACGACCUACGGGUGAAAGCAGAGGAUCUUCGGACCUUGCGCGAUUGAAUGAGCCGAUGUCGGAUUAGCUAGUUGGCGGGGUAAAGGCCCACCAAGGCGACGAUCCGUAGCUGGUCUGAGAGGAUGUACAGCCACUCUGGAACUGAGACACGGUACAGACUCCUACGGGAGGCAGCAGUGGGGAAUAUUGGACAAUGGGCGCAAUCCUGAUCCAGCCAUACCGGGUGGGUGAAGAAGGCCUUCGGGUUGUAAGGCCCUUUUGUUGGGAAAGAAAAGCAGCAGGUUAAUACCCCGCUGUUCUGACGGUACCCAAAGAAUAAGCACCGGCUAACUUCGUG
RNAcentral lists this ribosomal RNA (492 nucleotides) under uncultured bacterium. RNAcentral's name for it is "partial 16S ribosomal RNA". It matches the Rfam family "Bacterial small subunit ribosomal RNA", at positions 29 to 507 of the family's 1533-position model. The record is from RNAcentral.